GGAUAACCACUGGAAACGGUGGCUAAUACCGCAUAACGUCGCAAGACCAAAGAGGGGGACCUUCGGGCCUCUCACUAUCGGAUGAACCCAGAUGGGAUUAGCUAGUAGGCGGGGUAAUGGCCCACCUAGGCGACGAUCCCUAGCUGGUCUGAGAGGAUGACCAGCCACACUGGAACUGAGACACGGUCCAGACUCCUACGGGAGGCAGCAGUGGGGAAUAUUGCACAAUGGGCGCAAGCCUGAUGCAGCCAUGCCGCGUGUAUGAAGAAGGCCUUCGGGUUGUAAAGUACUUUCAGCGGGGAGGAAGGCGAUGUGGUUAAUAACCGCGUCGAUUGACGUUACCCGCAGAAGAAGCACCGGCUAACUCCGUGCCAGCAGCCGCGGUAAUACGGAGGGUGCAAGCGUUAAUCGGAAUUACUGGGCGUAAAGCGCACGCAGGCGGUCUGUUAAGUCAGAUGUGAAAUCCCCGGGCUUAACCUGGGAACUGCAUUUGAAACUGGCAGGCUUGAGUCUUGUAGAGGGGGGUAGAAUUCCAGGUGUAGCGGUGAAAUGCGUAGAGAUCUGGAGGAAUACCGGUGGCGAAGGCGGCCCCCUGGACAAAGACUGACGCUCAG
Molecule: ribosomal RNA, 614 nt
Filed under: uncultured bacterium
Lineage: Bacteria
Description: bacterial SSU rRNA
Rfam family: Bacterial small subunit ribosomal RNA
Source: RNAcentral